GAACCGGGAGACGAGGAGCUAGGGUGCGGGAAACCGCGACGCGGCAGGGCGCCGAGACUCCUGGAGAGAAGCUGCGGGCAGCCCCGACGGCACUUUCAGGGCUGCGUCGGGGGCUCCCCGGGGCACGGAGUGGGCUUCGGAAACCGGUUCCGAAGGAGCUGACAGGGUGGGGAGGGAACGCGAGGGGCUGGGGCGACGGCUUUGCCACCGCGGAGGAGCCGCCCGGAGGUUUCCUCUUCCCAGGCGUUAUUGUGCGCCUCAGUUCGAAAAGAUUACGUCUAUUUUGAGAACUCCUCCAGCAAUCCUUACCUGGUUAGACGGAUUGAGGAACUCAACAAGACUGCAAAUGGAAAUGUGGAGGCAAAGGUCGUCUGUCUUUUCCGGCGCAGGGACAUUUCUAGUAGCCUCAACAGCUUGGCUGAUAGUAAUGCCAGUGAGUA
This is a long non-coding RNA of Mandrillus leucophaeus (drill), 440 nucleotides long. RefSeq lists it as uncharacterized. The record is from RefSeq and is a predicted model, not a curated record. Lineage: Eukaryota; Metazoa; Chordata; Mammalia; Primates; Cercopithecidae. The transcript has 3 exons.